CAAGAUGAUGAAUCUAGAGGAUGGGUGGAACUUCAUCAUGAAGAAGGGCAUCAAAAAUCUCAUGAGCAUCCUCGAGGGCAAGCUGGAGCCGUGGUUCAACUCCGAGGAUUCACAUUGCUCUACACGUAAGUCGCCUCCGUCCCAGCCUCUCUCUGACCAUGCGUAGGCUAUGUUCGAUUCGAUCUGAUCUGGUGCUCAUCUUGGCGCCCGCUAUUUGUCUCUUUUUGUGGCCCAGCUCGCAAAAGCCCCAGCACUACUCGCAGCAGCUCUACGACAAGUACCAUCUAUCCUUCGAAGAGUAUAUCCGGGCCAUGGUGAGCUGAUUCUUUCUCCUGCUAAUGCGUACAUGUUGUGUCAUGUGUUCAGAUUAUCCCUUACUUUGUCUUUGUAUGCGUAUCUGUUUUUUAGAAUCGUGUAUGUGUAUCGGUUGAUUCUCUGAUUGUGUUUUGGUUUCUACAGUCCUAUCAUUUUAGUUUUGCCUCGGCCAAGACAGGAGUUUUGCAAGGCAAUUACCUGAUGCACUUCUAUGCACAACAAUUUGUAAAUCUCUUGAAUUAAGAAUGCCGCCAACAUCUUGCCCGACUAGGUAAGUCACCCAUAACUUCAGACUUUCUCCUAAGAAAAGAAGCAAUUUUCAAAUGUCUCUUUCAUUUGGGAACUGUAGUAAUGGUUACUAACAAAAGGGACGAGGGACGACAAUACUUGACACCUCUUACACUAGAAUUACUGUAAAAGUGUCUGUCAAUAGAAAGAUAGUUUGAUCUUAAAACUUACUUUUAGAUCUUUAGCUUUUGGCCAGGUGUAUCAUCCAAGAUGCCAUGCUUCUGAACUUAGCUAGCUCAGGUCGUUAUGGGCACCUGUGACCACCUGACUGGAACUCUGAAGAUUCUUGGAUGAAGGGCAAACCUAAAAAAUCUUAUGUCCCAGCCUCACCAUCCAACUAACCAAGAUACGUUUUAGCCGUCAUUGUCAAGUUCCACUAGUAGAAAACGGAGCUUUAAUAGCGGUUCAUAAGGGCCUUUAGUGCCGGUUCUGCAACCGGCACUAAAGAGUGGAGACUAAAGCCCCCCCUUUAGUACCGGUUCGGCACGAACCGCCACUAAAGGCCCACCACGUGGCGUGAGCUCGCGCCGUGGUAUGGGGGACCUUUAUUACCGGUUGGUGUUACCAACCGGUACUAGAGGUAUAUUUUUUUGAAAUUAUUUUUUGAAAAUUUUGGAGAAAAUUGAUUUUUUUUAUUUUCAAUUUUCUGAAUUAUUUGAUGGUUUAGUCUCUAAUCACCACUCUUAACUGCUCAAGUGUGGGUCACUCAUUCCAAAUCGUCUAACUUCCCGACCGGUCACCCAUCCUUUCACUCCCCCAACCUGAGCAUGCUUAACUUCGGAGUUCUAUUCCCCCUACUUUCCAAGUCUGCACUUGUUGUUUUCCUGAAAAAUGUAAGCUGUAAAUCCUAUUAACCCUCAGCAGUUAAGCUUGAGCAUUAGGUCACAAAUUUCACCGUUUGAGUUUGAAACUAUUAUUCUAAAAAACAGUAAUUAUUUAGUAACACUAAUAUUUCUUGAAUAAGUUUGACCAUAGUUUGACCACAGUUUGACCACAGUUUGACCAUAGUUUGACUAGAUUUGACCAAAAUUCAAAAAAAUUAAAUAAUUAUUUGUAACACUAAUAUUCUUGAAUAAGUAUGUAGUAACAUUAAUACUUCUUGAAUAAGUAGUUUGACCAUAGUUUGACCAGAUUUAACCAAAAUUAAAAAAAAACUUAAAUUUGAGCAUAUCUUUUUCUCCUUUUGGAAUUUGAGGAUUCUAAAAAAUUGCAAACAGGCCGUAGGAAGUCAAAAUCGGAUGCGGAUUUUCGUGCUGAAUUUUUUGAUAUAUUAUACGUUUUUUUCCGACAUCGUAUGCAAAAGUAAGUUUUCAAAUUUUCCUAACUAGUAGAUGUAGUAAUAUAACUACCUCUCGAAGGAUUUUAUUUUUGGAAGUUUUUAUCAUUUUCUUUUGAUUUUUUCAAAACUGAAAUGGCGAUACACGGGGGGUAGAGUUUGAAAAUUGCCCUAUAGUGCCGGUUUGUGUCUCCAACCGGUACUAUAGGUCAGACCCCUUUAGUACCGGUUCGUGGCAUGAACCGGUACUAAAGGUUAGCCCUUUAGUACCGGUUUGUGACACGAACCGGCACUAAAGGUGAUCGUGGGGCCCCGACCUGACGCCAGCCUGCCAUCACCCCUUUAUUACCGGUUCGUGGCACGAACCGGUACUAAAGGUUCAACACGAACCGGCAUUAAUGCAUAGCCAUUCGAACCGGCACUAAUGGUACCAUUAGUACCGGGCUAAAAUCAAACCGGGACUAAUGUGUCUCACAUUAGGUCCUUUUUCUACUAGUGUUCACAUAAACACCUAUAGAUUGGUAAUUCACGAACAGCUUUAAACAGAUGUUACAAACUCAAUAAGUAAUGGCACACGAGGAGACACACGAUUUUGACUUUAUAAUACCAUUCUCGGAAUGAAUCUCACGAUCAACUUUUAUGCCACACCCCCAUUAUCGACCUUGAUGGCUAAUACGGUUGUCGGUGUCUCCAGGUCCCCCCUGCAGCAUGGUAACUGACAUCUGCAGCGUUGAGCCAAGCACCAUUGAUGCAGUCUCAUAUGUGGAUGGCUUCUUUACUUUUCUUUAGUAUUUCUGGUGCUUACUUAUCAUCGUCUUUUUCUGGUUGAAGGUCUUCAUUAUAGCAUAUUAAACGUUACAUUGGAUAGAUACGUGGUUCCUGAUGGAAUAAUUUUCUUUCUCAUGGCUUUUCAUUUGUGUUAUACUGUUAUCCAUUAGUUUGCAUCU
Molecule: long non-coding RNA, 2826 nt
Filed under: Triticum aestivum (bread wheat)
Lineage: Eukaryota; Viridiplantae; Streptophyta; Magnoliopsida; Poales; Poaceae
Description: long non-coding RNA (TAES_LNC004821)
Source: RNAcentral